Pistacia vera is the source of this 1349-nucleotide long non-coding RNA. RefSeq lists it as uncharacterized. The transcript is spliced from 4 exons. Lineage: Eukaryota; Viridiplantae; Streptophyta; Magnoliopsida; Sapindales; Anacardiaceae. The record is from RefSeq and is a predicted model, not a curated record.
GUCUAAUCAAAACUUUUACGAAUUCUACGAACCGUCAACCCUUUACCUUUCUUCAUAUUCUACGAAUCGUCGAACCCUUCACCUUUAGAUUAAUCUCGAUACGUUUCCAUUUCAUUUCAUCCACUUCAUCUUCUUCUCUCUUCAUUUCUUAGUUACACGACCGAUCUAUCUAAUUUGAUUCAACAUCACUCAGUACCACCGCCACUUACCAACGAACAACUGUCUCUCCAUCACUCAAAAAACAGAACAAUUUUACGCUUUUAGUCUCCAAAACUUCAUUUUUUCUUUGUUCGCAAGCAUUGGAAACAUCCAACGGAGCAUCAUCCAAGCAAACACACAGUAGAGUUUUUCUUUUUAAUGGAAAUGGGAGGAGAUUUUGCUAAAUAAAUUUGAUGCUGUGACAUAUAGAGUUCUGGCAUACUUUCUUCUGGGUUUAGUCAGGAUAUACUCCAAAAAACGUUGAAUAUCUGUUUGAUGCUUGCAAUGAUGUAUUUAUUAAGAUUAAUGACUUUGUGGUUGGUGAAAAAAGUAAGUCACGGAAGGGAAAACUGAGUUUACCGUAUUAUGCUAUUACUGUACCAAACAGGUUUGAACUUGAUGCUUUUGAUCUGGAGAUUCUUGCAAUAAGAAGGUACUUUAUCAGAAAAAAUUGCAAUAAGAAGGUACUCAAGAUACCUGAGUUACUUGAAAUCUGCUACUACUCCUGAUGGAGAUGGUGAUCUUGAUAGCUUGAUGACCGGCGAAAUAAAAAAGAAGCUCAAGACUAUUCCUGAAAAUGUGAGUAUGUGAUGUAAGUCGUCUACCUCUUUUCAAAUAGAAAAUCGAAGUGAAUGGUUUGAUAUUUUACUCAAGAUUUUGUUUAUACUUUUGACUGAUGAGGAGGGCAAUCGGAUUACGUAUUCACACAACUUCAAGGUGAUUUUAUGAGACCCAGGAUUAAUGAGGUGGAUGAGCUACUUCAAAAAGGGGUGAAUGUCACCAUAUGCAAUGGACAAGUAAACCAUUUUUAUAUUUAUAAUCAAGAGUCCUUUUCAGCAGAAACAUAAAACCUUAGAAAAUGGGUUGCCCAUAUUCUUGUGGACCACCCCAUUAUCAAACCAUUUUCAAUUUUUUGGUUUAACUGUGAUUAUGACAUGAUUUUGUGGUUAACUGUAGUUGGACGUAAUUUGUACAAUAAAGAGAACUGAAGCAUCGAAUUUAUUAAAUAUAGCAGAUAUAUCCACCUCUUAGAUAGAUCUCAGAGUUGCUUUGGGAUCAGGUUGUGUUAGAGCUGGGCAAGGCACCGGUCCCUUGCGGGCCCGGGCCUAGGCCCGUUUGAUUUGGGACCAGUCUCUCAUGGGCCUGGGAUC